This 393-nucleotide long non-coding RNA is filed under the name Sorghum bicolor (sorghum). RNAcentral's name for it is "long non-coding RNA (SBIC_LNC005727)". The record is from RNAcentral. Lineage: Eukaryota; Viridiplantae; Streptophyta; Magnoliopsida; Poales; Poaceae.
AGGGAGAUGCCCUUGGAGGUGAGGAGGAUCUGGAUGAGGACGAGGCGCGUGGCCUCGAAGGCGACGGCGGCGAGCUGCAGGGCAACGCCACGGGCGUCGAAGCGGGCCUCGCCGUAGGCGGCAAUGGCGACGCCGAAGGAGAUGGAGAGCAUGUUGAGCAUGGCGGAGGACUUGAAGGUCUCCUUCUUGAAGAGCACCCCGAUGGAGUAGACGGCGACGGGCAUGAGCGCCUUGAGCAUCUGGAUGAAGGAGACGGAGAGGUAGAUGUAGGCGGAGUUGGAGAACCAGAGCGAGAGCGAGUAGAGCGCGCCGAUGGGGACGACGGAUGAGACGUAGAGCUGCGACGUCAUGGCGGGGGAGGACGGGAGGUCGACGACGCGGAGGACGCGGACG